This 686-nucleotide ribosomal RNA is filed under the name uncultured bacterium. Its description in RNAcentral is "bacterial SSU rRNA". It matches the Rfam family "Bacterial small subunit ribosomal RNA", at positions 95 to 764 of the family's 1533-position model. The record is from RNAcentral.
GUGGCGAACUGGUGAGUAACACGUGGCGUAACCUGCCCUUGAAGUAGGGGAUAACACUUGGAAACAGGUGCUAAUACCGUAUAACAACCAAAACCACCUGGUUUUGGUUUAAAAGACGGCUUCGGCUGUCACUUUAGGAUGGACCCGCGGCGUAUUAGCUUGUUGGUAAGGUAACGGCCUACCAAGGCGAUGAUACGUAGCCGACCUGAGAGGGUAAUCGGCCACAUUGGGACUGAGACACGGCCCAAACUCCUACGGGAGGCAGCAGUAGGGAAUCUUCCACAAUGGACGAAAGUCUGAUGGAGCAACGCCGCGUGAGUGAUGAAGGGUUUCGGCUCGUAAAACUCUGUUGUUGGAGAAGAACAGGUGUCAGAGUAACUGUUGACAUCUUGACGGUAUCCAACCAGAAAGCCACGGCUAACUACGUGCCAGCAGCCGCGGUAAUACGUAGGUGGCAAGCGUUGUCCGGAUUUAUUGGGCGUAAAGCGAGCGCAGGCGGUUUUUUAGGUCUGAUGUGAAAGCCUUCGGCUUAACCGGAGAAGUGCAUCGGAAACCGGGAGACUUGAGUGCAGAAGAGGACAGUGGAACUCCAUUGUGUAGCGGUGAAAUGCGUAGAUAUAUGGAAGAACACCAGUGGCGAAGGCGGCUGUCUGGGCUGUAACUGACGCUGAGGCUCGAAAGCAUGG